AUUGAACGCUGGCGGCGUGCUUAACACAUGCAAGUCGAACGAUGAAAGAGAAUCCGAUCUCUUCGGAGUGAAGAAUCUCUGGAUUAGCGGCAGACGGGUGAGUAACGCGUGAGCAACCUACCUCUUACAAAGGGAUAGCCAUGGGAAACCGUGAUUAAUACCAUAUGACACAUUCAUAAGGCAUCUUAAGAAUGUUAAAGCUACGGCGGUAAGAGAUGGGCUCGCGUCCCAUUAGCUAGUUGGUGAGGUAACGGCCCACCAAGGCGACGAUGGGUAACCGGCCUGAGAGGGUGAACGGUCACAUUGGAACUGAGACACGGUCCAAACUCCUACGGGAGGCAGCAGUGGGGAAUAUUGCACAAUGGAGGAAACUCUGAUGCAGCGACGCCGCGUGAGCGAUGAAGGAAUUCGUUUCGUAAAGCUCUGUUCUAUGGGAAGAAAAGGACUGUACCAUAGGAGCAAGCCCCGGCUAAAUACGUGCCAGCCGCCGCGGUAA
RNAcentral lists this ribosomal RNA (496 nucleotides) under uncultured Eubacteriales bacterium. Its description in RNAcentral is "bacterial SSU rRNA". It matches the Rfam family "Bacterial small subunit ribosomal RNA", at positions 30 to 523 of the family's 1533-position model. The record is from RNAcentral. Lineage: Bacteria; Bacillati; Bacillota; Clostridia; Eubacteriales.